UCAGCAUUAGCAGAGCUACGUGAAAUAGAGUGAAAUACGAUGACCUGACUUCCUCCUCCCACAGGCCUCUCCCGGGCUUUGGGCUCUCUGCCUGAGCAACCACGGCAGGUCCCCAGAGGGCUGCCCUUUCCAGGGGCCCUGCCUGUCUAAAGGGGCAGGGAGACCAGAAAGGCUGCAAGCAACCCUGCUGGCUGCUGGCCCAGCUGCAGAGGCCCGACGCCUGCCGUUGGCCUGCACCAGAGCUGGAACUCCAACCAGAUGUACCCAGGUUGGGACGUCAGGAAAAGGGUUGCUUUUCAGUAACAGCAUGACAGCCUCCCCCAACAUCCUUUCGUCACCUGGAAUUAUGGGCUGACCAUGUCCCAACCCCAAAUUGCAGUGUUGAAGCCCUAACCCCAGUAUGAUGCUAUUUGAAGGAAGCAGGGAAGGCCACGUGAGCGCACAGCAAGGAGGCGGCCGGCCGCUAGCCAGGAAGAGCUGCUUCUCCAAGAAUUGAAUCAACUUGCACCUUGAUCUGGGACUUCCUGGCCUCUAGAAAUAAAUGUCUACUGUUUUGGCCAUCCAAUUUGUGGCAUUUAUUAUAGCAGCCCAAAUGGACUGAGACAGCUGGCAGACACCUACUCAGCCUUUAGGACCCAGUGCAAUUACCACUCCUCUCCAAAGCCUUUCUUAGCACUUACAAAUAAACUGAGUCAUUCCCUCUCCUGUGCCAUCCAAGUACUCUGGUCCCAGCCUUCU
Manis pentadactyla (Chinese pangolin) is the source of this 738-nucleotide long non-coding RNA. RefSeq lists it as uncharacterized. The transcript is spliced from 3 exons. The record is from RefSeq and is a predicted model, not a curated record. NCBI's taxonomy places the organism in Eukaryota, Metazoa, Chordata, Mammalia, Pholidota, Manidae.